CUUGUUACUACCUUGUGAAUCAAACUUGCAAAUAUAAGGUGACUAUGAUAUGGUUAUGUAAUUAGAAUAUGAUGACUAAAAGAUAAAAUGUAAGUUUUGUACUUUGAUUGGAUUGUGAUCCUUAUUCAAAUUGUGUUGUAUGCUAUUGGCAUAGGCAUUCACAUUUUACUGAAGAAUAUAGUUUUUCUUUCGAAAAUCACUUCAAAAACACAAGUAAAUA
RNAcentral lists this long non-coding RNA (220 nucleotides) under Mytilus galloprovincialis (Mediterranean mussel). Lineage: Eukaryota; Metazoa; Mollusca; Bivalvia; Mytilida; Mytilidae. The record is from RNAcentral.